Molecule: long non-coding RNA, 1284 nt
Organism: Arvicola amphibius (Eurasian water vole)
Lineage: Eukaryota; Metazoa; Chordata; Mammalia; Rodentia; Cricetidae
Exons: 7
Source: RefSeq, a predicted model, not a curated record
ACGCGCACCGACUGCGCCCCGAAGUACUUCAGCAAGUCCUCCUUCUCCUCGGCCGUCAGCUCGGCCGGCAGGUGCCUGACGAGGAGGGUGCGGUCUCCCCGGGGCGGGGAGAGCGAAGCGGAGCCUGGGCCUCCUCGCGGCAGCGGCGGCUCGAGCCCCGCCAUCUUCCGCCAAGCCGCAGCCGGAUGAGGGUCGCCCCGCGGGAGCUUCCGUCCAAACAGCAGCGUCCGCGGAGGCUGAGCUGCAGGAAGGUUCCGCCUCGCGCUAAGGAGUCGGGAACCCGAGAAAUACCGCGAGAGUUGGUCGUCUUCUCGCGAGAGUUGCUUCCCAGAGACCUUCGCUUCUCUUCUGGGUCGCCGCCCGGUUGCCGGGAGCCGCGGCUCAAAUUCAAUGAGUCAUUGUCAUCAAACAGGGACGAAAGAGAUGCCAUUAGGAAGCCAGAAGUCUAAUCGAAGAAGAGGAACCUCAGUCAUGUGAAAAGAAAAGGGGCUGCAGGCCCAAGGACCGAGUACUGACGGAACCGUGUACCGGCUGUUGCUCUCUGAGAACUUAAUGCAGGAUAUCAGGAAUCAGUCUGGCUGGCGGAGGGAACUAACUCUGGAGACUCAGACUGUGUUCUAGAAUUUGGAAGUGGUGAAAAACAGUAGCAUUUACAGUGGUCAAGAAUGGAGGCAUGUACCGGUCACUGAUGAAGGAUCAAAGAAAUGUUCUACGUCUACUAUAUGGAAUACUACUAAGCCAUAAAAUUUUUUGAGACAAGGACUCAAUGUUUGUGACCCAGGCUGACUUCAGCCUCACAAUACUUUUAUUUAAACCUUCGCAGUGCCAAGAAUACUAGCAGAUACUACCAGGUACAGCUUUCGAAAGCUGGAGGUCCCAAAGAACAUCUGACAAGAUAUAUUUGGCACUCCAACAUGGAACAGGACUACACAGACAGAGAAGUCACAUCAGAGAGCUUCACCGCAGGUGCCAUCUGGGACUUUCCUGACUGUCAUUUUGGGGAUUGUCAUUAGCAUUCUUCUAAUUUUUGUUCGGCUGCAUGCUUCUUUCUCGUAAUCACCACCUUGCUGAAAACACCGUCAAAGACAGAUGCAGAGGUAUGUUUUGUAAGUGAUUCCAAAUGCAGCAGAGUAAAACAAGAGAGCAUUACGUUACUAUACGAAGAACUCAAGAAAUUGUCAUCAAAAGACCAAAUAGUCAAAACAAAAAAAAUUGGACUACAGACCUAAACAGAGAACUCUCAACAGAGGAAUCUAAAAUGGCUGAAAGACACUUAAGAAACUG